AGUUUAAUAGUUUAAUGAAAACCUGAGACUGCAAUUCUCGUAUUACUCACUCGAGUUUAAACUU
Molecule: transfer RNA, 64 nt
Filed under: Limnadia lenticularis
Lineage: Eukaryota; Metazoa; Arthropoda; Branchiopoda; Diplostraca; Limnadiidae
Description: tRNA-Cys
Source: RNAcentral